UAAUCUUGCUACCUUGCCCUCCAUAAGCCUGGGAUCUUCACUGACACCAGAAUUUUUUUAGUGAUUUAAACAACAUGAACAAAAAAAGCUUCCUAGUCCCUGUUUUGGAGAGCUAGAGGUUGUUUUAUUUUUGUUUUUGGUAUUUAAAGUCUUGUUUGUUAGGCCCACACGUGUGGAGCGUUUCAAACAAUCAAAGGAUGUGGGUUUCAAGAAUAUGAAUUUGGAGUUGGGAUAAGAUGUAGGAGAUAAACUUGGAGAUGUGGAACAACUGUUAGCAUUCUGAGGUUUUACCAUUGUAAAUGGAUAAAUGCUAAUGUUUUUCCAUGUCUAUAAUUUUGAUUCUAUGAUCUAGAAGAUGAAGAAAAAGAAUAUAUAACCAGAUGCUCAAUUCUGUGGCACAGCUCUGAGUAUCACCUUUGAAGAUUAAGGAUGACAAUAAUAAUUCAAGAUUGAUGAUUGAUUUUCUGGUUCCAAAAAUUGUUACUAAUAAUCAAUUAAGAAUCUUCCUUGACUGCUCCAUUUGUGGUGAUCUCUCUAUUGGAGGAAUCAACAGCAAUAUCUGCACUCAUCAUUCGGUACUUACUCAUACAUGGUCUUGUGCGCAUAUGUUUAAAUUUUACCAUUUAAAUUGAGGCUGUGCAUUAUCCUCCA
This 651-nucleotide long non-coding RNA is filed under the name Dasypus novemcinctus (nine-banded armadillo). Its description in RNAcentral is "lncRNA (ENSDNOG00000051285.1)". The record is from RNAcentral. Lineage: Eukaryota; Metazoa; Chordata; Mammalia; Cingulata; Dasypodidae.